GAAUAUUGGACAAUGGGGGGAACCCUGAUCCAGCCAUGCCGCGUGGGUGAAGAAGGCCUUUUGGUUUUAAAGCACUUUAAGCGAGGAGGAGGAGCUCUUGGUUAAUACCCAAGAUGCUUGGACGUUACUCGCAGACUAAGCGCCGGCUAACGCUGUGCCAGCAGCCUCGGUAGUACAGAGGGUGCAAGCGUUAAUCGGAUGUACUGUGCGUAAAGGGCGCGUAGGUGGACAAUUAAGUCGAAUGUGAAAUCCCCGAGCUUAACUGGGGAAUUGCAUUCGAUACUGGUUGGCUAGAGUAUGGGAGAGGAUGGUAGAAUUCCAGGUGUAGCGGUGAAAUGCGUAGAGAUCUGGAGGAAUACCGAUGGCGAAGGCAGCCAUCUGGCCUAAUACUGACACUGAGGUGCGAAAGCAUGGGGAGCAAACA
Molecule: ribosomal RNA, 424 nt
Filed under: uncultured bacterium
Lineage: Bacteria
Description: partial 16S ribosomal RNA
Rfam family: Bacterial small subunit ribosomal RNA
Source: RNAcentral